ACACUCCUGCGGGAGGCAGCAGUGGGGAAUUUUACGCAAUGGGGGAAACCCUGACGUAGCGACACCGCGUGAGCGAAGAAGCCCUUUGGGGUGUAAAGCUCUGUCAGCUGGAACGAAAACAAUGACGGUACCAGCAGAGGAAGCAUCGGCUAACUACGUGCCAGCAGCCGCGGUAAGACGUAGGAUGCGAGCGUUGUCCGGAUUUAUUGGGCGUAAAGAGUUCGUAGGUGGUUUGUUAAGUUUGGUGUUAAAGAUCGGGGCUCAACCCUGGGACUGCACUGAAUACUGGCAGACUCGAGUGUGGUAGAGGCUAGUGGAAUUCCCAGUGUAGCGGUGAAAUGCGUAGAUAUUGGGAAGAACACCGGUGGCGUAGGCGACUAGCUGGGCCAUAACUGACGCUGAGGAACGAAAGCCAGGGGAGCGAAUGGGAGUAGAAACCCGAGUAGUCCCAUGAU
Molecule: ribosomal RNA, 455 nt
Filed under: uncultured organism
Description: partial 16S ribosomal RNA
Rfam family: Bacterial small subunit ribosomal RNA
Source: RNAcentral